This 459-nucleotide ribosomal RNA is filed under the name uncultured bacterium. Its description in RNAcentral is "partial 16S ribosomal RNA". It matches the Rfam family "Bacterial small subunit ribosomal RNA", at positions 338 to 795 of the family's 1533-position model. The record is from RNAcentral.
CCUACGGGUGGCAGCAGUGAGGAAUAUUGGUCAAUGGGCGCGAGCCUGAACCAGCCAAGUCGCGUGAGGGAAGACGGUCCUAUGGAUUGUAAACCUCUUUUGUCGGGGAGCAAAAGACGCCACGCGUGGCGUUCCGAGAGUACCUGAAGAAAAAGCAUCGGCUAACUCCGUGCCAGCAGCCGCGGUAAUACGGAGGAUGCGAGCGUUAUCCGGAUUUAUGGGGUUUAAAGGGUGCGCAGGGGGUAGAUAAAGUCAGCGGUAAAAUUGAGGGGCUAAACCUCUUCGCGCCGUUGAAACUGGUAUUCUAGAGUGAGAGAGAAGUAUGCGGAAUGCGUGGUGGAGCGGUGAAAUGCAUAGAUAUCGUGAAGAACUCCGAGCGCGAAGGCAAGUGUCCGGGGUGCAACUGACGCUGAGGCUCGAAAGUGCGGGUAUCAAACAGGAUUAGAUACCCGAGUAGUC